GAAAGGCACAUAUCUUAUAUA
Molecule: small nuclear RNA, 21 nt
Filed under: Arabidopsis thaliana (thale cress)
Lineage: Eukaryota; Viridiplantae; Streptophyta; Magnoliopsida; Brassicales; Brassicaceae
Description: snRNA_10203
Source: RNAcentral